AACGCACAUUGCGCCCAUUGGUAUUCCGAUGGGCAUGCCUGUUCGAGCGUCAUUAUCCUCCCUCAAACCUCGUGUUUGGUGUUGGACCGCGUUGGCCGAGCGACCAACUGGUCUCAAAGACAAUGACGGCGUCCGUGGGACCCUCGGUGCAACGAGCUUCUAAGGAGCACGCGUCGAGUUUCAAGGACCCUCCGGGCCGGUCUUACCUCUAUCUUCUCAGGUUGACCUCGGAUCAGGUAGGAAUACCCGCUGAACUUAA
RNAcentral lists this unclassified non-coding RNA (259 nucleotides) under uncultured fungus. RNAcentral describes it as "partial contains 5.8S ribosomal RNA, internal transcribed spacer 2, and large subunit ribosomal RNA". The stretch from base 1 to 52 matches the Rfam family "5.8S ribosomal RNA", at positions 103 to 154 of the family's 154-position model. Lineage: Eukaryota; Fungi. The record is from RNAcentral.